UACGUAGGGUGCGAGCGUUGUCCGGAUUUAUUGGGCGUAAAGGGCUCGUAGGCGGUUUGUCACGUCGGGAGUGAAAACCCAGGGCUUAACCCUGGGCCUGCUUCCGAUACGGGCAGACUAGAGGUAUGCAGGGGAGAACGGAAUUCCUGGUGUAGCGGUGAAAUGCGCAGAUAUCAGGAGGAACACCGGUGGCGAAGGCGGUUCUCUGGGCAUUACCUGACGCUGAGGAGCGAAAGUGUGGGGAGCGAACAGG
RNAcentral lists this ribosomal RNA (253 nucleotides) under uncultured bacterium. Its description in RNAcentral is "partial 16S ribosomal RNA". It matches the Rfam family "Bacterial small subunit ribosomal RNA", at positions 524 to 776 of the family's 1533-position model. The record is from RNAcentral.